GCAGCAUCAGCAGGAAGACGACAUAGUCUCGUUCACGGAGGAAGUCAGAAGCUGAACCAAUUGUGGAGCUGGCAAAAGAUGCCUUCUAUGUAGUGCGCAAAGGAGAUAUUGUUGGUGUUUAUAAGAGUUUCGGCGAUUGUCAGGCUCAGCUUAGUUCUUCGAUAAUUUUACAUUUUUCUAUUUCUGGGUUAAAUGGGUUUAAUGUGCUUGAACUUCACUUCACUUCACUCUUUCUUUUUUGUUUGGAAUUGUGGCAGAUAUUUGAUCCUCCUGUUAGUGUGUACAAAGGGUACUCUUUGCCUGAGGACACGGAAGAAUAUUCAUGUGGACUUACGAAUGCCAUUUACACAAUCGCUGCUGCAGAUUUGAAGGACGAUAUUUUCGGCAAGCUUAUGCAUUGCCCUUUUCAAGAUCCAGGAUCUUUGCAAGGUGAAGCAUCUGUCACGGAUGCACUCAAAAAGAGAUCCCAUGAAGUGCCAGCAUCAGAUAAUUUUGGAAGUAAUUGGUUCAUCUUCCUUUUUCAGAUGAUCCAUUGAGAAAGCAUGUCAAGAUAGAUCAUUCCACUCAAUCAUUACCCUUAGAUUCUGGGGAAAUAGCUGAAAAUGACACCCAUUUUAUAAUUUUAAUUAAAAAUACCACCCCUUCCCAAUUUUUGUACAACUAUCACCUAUAAAUAUAAAAUUAUUGUACCCUUAUUGCUGAUUUUUCACAAGUUCAGAAAUUUGUUCUCUCAGCUCACACAACUCUCUCUCUCUAGCACAACUCUCUCUCUCUCUGGCACAACUCUCUUUCUCUUU
Long non-coding RNA from Prunus dulcis (almond), 797 nucleotides. RefSeq lists it as uncharacterized. The record is from RefSeq and is a predicted model, not a curated record. NCBI's taxonomy places the organism in Eukaryota, Viridiplantae, Streptophyta, Magnoliopsida, Rosales, Rosaceae. The transcript is spliced from 3 exons.